RNAcentral lists this unclassified non-coding RNA (227 nucleotides) under Hevea brasiliensis (rubber tree). Lineage: Eukaryota; Viridiplantae; Streptophyta; Magnoliopsida; Malpighiales; Euphorbiaceae. The record is from RNAcentral.
CAUGUUUCUGAAGCAGCAACCUUGUCUAUUCCCUGCUUAAUAAAUGCACUAAAGUCAGGUAGUGAGGCUGCUCAGGAAUCUGUAUUGGACACCCUCUGCUUGUUGAAACANNNNNNNNCAUGUCAAUAGAGAUUGCGAAGUCUCAAGCAAUGGUUGCAGCUGAUGCCAUUCCUAUUCUCCAAAUGCUGAUGAAGACCUGCCCGCCAAGUUUCCACGAGAGAGCAGAC